Molecule: ribosomal RNA, 494 nt
Filed under: uncultured bacterium
Lineage: Bacteria
Description: bacterial SSU rRNA
Rfam family: Bacterial small subunit ribosomal RNA
Source: RNAcentral
GCGGCAUGCUUUCCAUGCNAGUCGGACGGCAGCACAGAGAAGCUUGCUUCUUGGGUGGCGAGUGGCGAACGGGUGGGUAAUAUAUCGGAACGUACCGAGUAAUGGGGGAUAACUAAUCGAAAGAUUAGCUAAUACCGCAUAUUCUCUGAGGAGGAAAGCAGGGGACCUUCGGGCCUUGCGUUAUUCGAGCGGCCGAUAUCUGAUUAGCUAGUUGGUGGGGUAAAGGCCUACCAAGGCGACGAUCAGUAGCGGGUCUGAGAGGAUGAUCCGCCACACUGGGACUGAGACACGGCCCAGACUCCUACGGGAGGCAGCAGUGGGGAAUUUUGGACAAUGGGCGCAAGCCUGAUCCAGCCAUGCCGCGUGUCUGAAGAAGGCCUUCGGGUUGUAAAGGACUUUUGUCAGGGAAGAAAAGGCUGUUGCUAAUAUCGACAGCUGAUGACGGUACCUGAAGAAUAAGCACCGGCUAACUACGUGCCAGCAGCCGCGGUAAU